AUUCCAUUCCCUCCGAGUAGAAAACAAUAGGAAAACAUAUUCUCUUCAAAAUUAAAGACGCAGCCAGUCGCCAAUUUGAAGAUGAGGCACGCCAAGCAAAACCUACGUGCUUAAAAUAACGCGGCAACAAUCUCCGCCGGUUCGCCUGCCACGGUCUCCGACCAUCCCCAGUAAUUAUAGAAAAGAAAAGACUAUCUUGAACGUCAUGGACAAUCCUACAAAUAAAAGAUGGAUGUAUUGUGAAAGAGUUAGUAAAGAAUAUUUGGAUGGAGUAGAGGAUUUUUUAAAUCAUGCCUUUUCUGAAAAACAAGAUGGAGAAAAAAUUGCAUGUCCUUGUACGGAGUGUGUGCUUAUCCAUCAAGUAAAUCGGGCUACAACAUGUGAUCAUCUUAUGGUUAAUGGUAUUAUAUCAUCAUAUGAUACUUGGUUUUGCCAUGGUGAGUCUCUAAAGGGAUCAAACAAUGUUGAAGCAAAUAAUCGCAGUCAGUCAACUCAAAGGGGCGAUGAUAUGAGAGGAAUGAUACAUGAUGCAUUUGCAGGUAUUACACAGUUCAUGGAUACUGACGUUAGUGAAUUAGGUGGUAUAGAGCAAGACUUACAAGAGAAUACUGCUCAUCCAUCUGGAAAUCAACCUCAUCCAGAGGUGGAUAAGUUUGAACGGCUCAUGAAGGAGGCAAAUUAAGAAUUAUAUCCUGGAUGUAAGAAGUUUAGCAAACUCUCUUUUUGCUGCAUUUGUAUCGCACAAAAUGCAUGUUCAAGUAGUCAAAUGAAUCUUUUAAUUCUUUGCUUGGACUAUUGAAAGAUGCGCUGCCUGAAGGAGAAAAAUUACCUCCUUCUUUCUAUGAGACCAAAAAGAUAGUUGAAGGCUCGGGCUUAAAGUAUUAAAAAAUCCAUGUUUGUCCCAA
This is a long non-coding RNA of Nicotiana tabacum (common tobacco), 905 nucleotides long. RefSeq lists it as uncharacterized. NCBI's taxonomy places the organism in Eukaryota, Viridiplantae, Streptophyta, Magnoliopsida, Solanales, Solanaceae. The record is from RefSeq and is a predicted model, not a curated record.